ACCUUUGACAUGUACGGAACUUGCCAGAGGAAUGGCUUGGUGCUCGAAAGAGAGCCGUAACACAGGUGCUGCAUGGCUGUCGUCAGCUCGUGUCGUGAGAUGUUGGGUUAAGUCCCGCAACGAGCGCAACCCUUGCCAUUAGUUGCUACGAAAGGGCACUCUAAUGGGACUGCCGGUGAUAAACCGGAGGAAGGUGGGGAUGACGUCAAGUCCUCAUGGCCCUUAUAGGUGGGGCUACACACGUCAUACAAUGGCUGGUACAAAGGGUUGCCAACCCGCGAGGGGGAGCUAAUCCCAUAAAACCAGUCGUAGUCCGGAUCGCAGUCUGCAACUCGACUGCGUGAAGUCGGAAUCGCUAGUAAUCGUGGAUCAGAAUGUCACGGUGAAUACGUUCCCGGGUCUUGUACACACCGCCCGUCACACCAGUGGGAGCGGGUUCUGCCAGAAGUAGUUAGCCUAACCGCGAAGGAGGGCGAUUACCACGGCAGGGUUCGUGACGUGGGGUGAAGUCGUAACAAGGUAAGCGUAGAUGA
This 533-nucleotide ribosomal RNA is filed under the name uncultured bacterium. RNAcentral describes it as "bacterial SSU rRNA". It matches the Rfam family "Bacterial small subunit ribosomal RNA", at positions 977 to 1509 of the family's 1533-position model. The record is from RNAcentral.